This 373-nucleotide ribosomal RNA is filed under the name uncultured bacterium. RNAcentral's name for it is "bacterial SSU rRNA". It matches the Rfam family "Bacterial small subunit ribosomal RNA", at positions 30 to 403 of the family's 1533-position model. The record is from RNAcentral.
AUUGAACGCUGGCGGCAUGCCUUACACAUGCAAGUCGAACGGCAGCACGGGAGCAAUCCUGGUGGCGAGUGGCGAACGGGUGAGUAAUAUAUCGGAACGUGCCCGGUCGUGGGGGAUAACGUAGCGAAAGCUACGCUAAUACCGCAUACGAUCUACGGAUGAAAGCGGGGGAUCGCAAGACCUCGCGCGAUUGGAGCGGCCGAUAUCAGAUUAGGUAGUUGGUGAGGUAAAGGCUCACCAAGCCGACGAUCUGUAGCUGGUCUGAGAGGACGACCAGCCACACUGGGACUGAGACACGGUCCAGACUCCUACGGGAGGCAGCAGUGGGGAAUUUUGGACAAUGGGCGCAAGCCUGAUCCAGCAAUGCCGCGUG